GCGGCAAAAGCUCAAAUUUGAAAUCUGGCACUUUCAGUGUCCGAGUUGUAAUUUGAAGAAGGUAUCUUUGGGUCUGGCUCUUGUCUAUGUUUCUUGGAACAGAACGUCACAGAGGGUGAGAAUCCCGUGCGAUGAGAUGUCCCAGACCUAUGUAAAGUUCCUUCGAAGAGUCGAGUUGUUUGGGAAUGCAGCUCUAAGUGGGUGGUAAAUUCCAUCUAAAGCUAAAUAUUGGCGAGAGACCGAUAGCGAACAAGUACAGUGAUGGAAAGAUGAAAAGAACUUUGAAAAGAGAGUGAAAAAGUACGUGAAAUUGUUGAAAGGGAAGGGCUUGAGAUCAGACUUGGUAUUUUGUAUGUUACUCUCUCGGGGGUGGUCUCUACAGUUUACCGGGCCAGCAUCAGUUUGAGCGGUAGGAUAAGUGCAAAGAAAUGUGGCACUGCUUCGGUAGUGUGUUAUAGUCUUUGUCGAUACUGCCAGCUUAGACUGAGGACUGCGGCUUCGGCCUAGGAUGUUGGCAUAAUGAUCUUAAGUCGCCCGUCUUGAA
Molecule: ribosomal RNA, 544 nt
Filed under: Lodderomyces parapsilosis
Lineage: Eukaryota; Fungi; Ascomycota; Pichiomycetes; Serinales; Debaryomycetaceae
Description: eukaryotic LSU rRNA
Rfam family: Eukaryotic large subunit ribosomal RNA
Source: RNAcentral